GUGAACAACUAAGGGCGCGCGGUGGAUGCCUAGGCUCUCGGAGGCGAAGAAGGACGCGAUAAGCCGCGAUAGUCCACGGCGAGGUGCAAGUAACCCUUGACCCGUGGGUUUCCGAAUGGGGCAACCCGGCCGUCUAGAUGACGGUCAUGCAUUAUCAUGCAGGCGAACGCGGGGAACUGAAACAUCUCAUUACCCGCAGGAGAAGAAAACAAAAUGUGAUUCCCCCAGUAGUGGCGAGCGAACGGGGAAGAGCCCAAACCGGUAGCGUUUCGGCGAUACCGGGGUCAUGGGACCACGCCAUUCGAAACAAGAUGAAGUGCAAUUACCUGGAAAGGUAAGCCGCGGAGGGUGAUAGCCCCGUGCACGUCAAUUCUUGUGGAGAUAGUGGAAUCCCGAGUAGGGCGGGACACGAGAAAUCCUGCCUGAAUUCGCCAGGACCUCCUGGCAAGGCUAAAUACUCCCGAGAGACCGAUAGUGAACCAGUACCGCGAGGGAAAGGUGAAAAGUACCCCGAGCAGGGGGGUGAAAUAGACCCUGAACCCGCGCGCCUACAAGCGGUCGGAGCUGCCUUGUGCAGUGACGGCGUGCCUUUUGCAUAAUGAGCCUACGAGUUAGUCGUCACCAGCGAGGUUAAGGGCUUCAGGCCCGUAAGCCGAAGUGAAAGCGAGCCUUAACAGGGCGUCAAGUUGGUGGCGCUAGACGCGAAACCUUGUGAUCUACCCACGAGCAGGUUGAAGUCGCGGUAACACGUGAUGGAGGACCGAACCGGUAAACGUUGAAAAGUUUUCGGAUGACUCGCGGGUAGGGGUGAAAGGCCAAUCAAACUGGGAAAUAGCUCGUACUCUCCGAAAUGCAUUUCGGUGCAGCCUGUGAUGUUCUGUUCCAGAGGUAGAGCUACUGGUUGGACGCGAGGGCUUCACCGCCUAUCAAAUCCGGAUAAACUCCGAAUGCUGGAACACGAAAUCAUGGAGUGAGCCCGCGGGUGCUAAGGUCCGCGGACGAGAGGGAAAGAACCCGGACCACCGGCUAAGGUCCCGGAUGGACAGUUAAGUUGAUCAAACGAGGUGGGAUCGCUGAGACAGCUAGGAUGUUGGCUUGGAAGCAGCCAUUCAUUUAAAGAGUGCGUAACAGCUCACUAGUCGAGCGAUCCCGCGUGGAUAAUACACGGGCAUCAAACUGUCAACCGAAGCCGUGGGGUCAGCGAAAAGCUGACCGGUAGGAGAGCAUUCCUGCCAGCGUUGAAGGUCACCCGCGAGAGUGACUGGAGCGGCAUGAAAAGCAAAUGUAGGCAUAAGUAACGAUAAUGGGGGCGAGAACCCCCCACGCCGCAAGACCAAGGCUUCCCCGGCAAUGUCAAUCAGCCGGGGGUCAGCCGGCCUCUAAGGCUAACCCGAAGGGGGAUGCCGACGAGAAACGGGUUAACAUUCCCGUGCUUCUCGUCACCGUGACGCGGUGACGGGGUGAUGAAUGGACCGCGCGCUGACGGAAUAGCGCGUUGAAGGCCGUACCCUUCGAGGGUGGUAGUCAAGCACGCCACCCGAGGCGAUAGCCGAUAGUACCACGAGACUCCGGUCGAGUGGAUAGCGUCCAGGCAAUUUACCCCCGAGAAAACCCGCUAAACUUCAAGUGACGAGGAACCGUACUGUAAACGGACACACGUGGUCGGGUAGAACAUACCAAGGCGCUCGAGUGAUUCAUGGUCAAGGAACUAGGCAAAAUAGUCCUGUAACUUCGGGAAAAAGGACGCUCUAGUGAUAGAGCCGCAGAGUAAUGGCCCAGGCGACUGUUUACCAAAAACACAUGGCUAUGCCAAAUCGAAAGAUGACGUAUAUGGCCUGACACCUGCCCGGUGCCGGAAGGUUAAGAGGAGAGCUCAUCGGAAACGAGAAGGUUUGAAUUGAAGCCCCGGUAAACGGCGGCCGUAACUAUAACGGUCCUAAGGUAGCGAAAUUCCUUGUCGGGUAAGUUCCGACCUGCACGAAUGG
This 1985-nucleotide ribosomal RNA is filed under the name human gut metagenome. RNAcentral describes it as "bacterial LSU rRNA". It matches the Rfam family "Bacterial large subunit ribosomal RNA", at positions 1 to 1999 of the family's 2925-position model. The record is from RNAcentral.